RNAcentral lists this unclassified non-coding RNA (2150 nucleotides) under Leishmania donovani. RNAcentral's name for it is "gene:LdHU3.30.0060(CDS-product:Alpha/beta_hydrola se_family/alpha/beta_hydrolase_fold_putative)". The record is from RNAcentral. Lineage: Eukaryota; Euglenozoa; Kinetoplastea; Trypanosomatida; Trypanosomatidae.
GGAGCGGCCCGAUCUAUUCCUUGCAGCGCUCCGUGCAUGACACCCGCGUUGUUCUCUCUCGUCUACCUUUGCGCAACUCACUCAGCCUGUGGUGCGGUGGUGCUCCUCCUCCCCGACAAACCCCACACAUACAUCCACCAACACUGACAGAGCUUCUCCAUAGAGCACAGAGGAGGUGCUGACUCGUCACCUGGUGCUGCCAAUAAGUCUUGCGUCGCCGCAUGCCCCCCUCCCCUCUGUGCUCGUGGAGCCCGCGCGCGCCACUCAUGACAGGGGGUCUUUCUGCGAGUGGGGCGGCUGAGCCUCUGCCGUGCCGCGUGCCGUUUCUGCCCAAGCUGAAAUUCCUCUGCCUUCACGUCUUUUGCGCGCUUUUCGUAGACCUCGUGCUGCGGCUGACGCGCUUCUUCAGCCGUGCACAGCUUAGGACAGAGGCAACGGCUACGCACGGCUCUCUUCAAGCAAAAUCGUUCUUUAAGCUGGACAGGCUGGACAAGGUGCCGUACGCGGAUCCGCCGUACAGUGGGCAUGUCAGCACCAUCCUGUGCGCUUUCCGUCCCCAUCGGAGCAUUCCGUAUCAGCGCGUGGUUCACCCCGGCGCGGACGGCAACCCCAUGUACUUGGACUGGCUGCUCACAGAUUCGCGCCAUGCCAAAGGAGUGUUCCUCAUCAUCCCCGGACUCGCUUCGUGGUCCGGUACCAACUAUAUCGAGCACUUCGUGUGGUUCGCCUUCACCCACCACUUUCACUGCGGCGUCUUCAACUCUCGCGGUAUGGGUAACACACCCAUCGAGACACCGCGGCUCAUGUCCGGCAAGUGGACAGACGACUUGCGCGCCGUUCUACGCGACGGGCCAUUCUCGCGUGCCGCCAUUGAAAAACACUGUGGCGCUGGCAUUCCUAUUAUCGCUGUCGGUUUCAGCCUGGGCGGCGUGAUUCUGUCCAAGUACGUUGGCGAGGAGUGCCUUGCGGCUCGCGAGCUAGUCAUGGACGCGGUCAUGGUCGUGAACUCCCCUCUCGACUGCCUCGACUCCAACGCCGUCAUGAACCGACGCAUCAGCAAACUCCUUUACCAGCCAAGCAUGGCAGGGGGCCUGACGGCGUAUGCUCGGCGGCACGCCAAAGUGCUGAAGGAUCUCCCCGGGCUUUCCCCGGAUGUGCGCGCCGCCUUCGCUUCGGGGCGCCUGGAGAAGGUUCUAGCGCAGGUGAAGACUGUGCGCGACUUUGACCGCUUCAUCACCGCCCCGACGCUGGGGUUCGCCACGCCGGAGGACUACUAUCACCACAUCUCCCCGAUCGAGUGGCUACCGCACUUUUCUGUACCUGUCCUGUGCAUCAGCGCCGCCGACGACCCGGUGACGGGAGAGCCACCCAUGGCGAGUUUGGCUAACACCAUGCGGUCCAACCCUAACGUGGCGCUGCUCGUCAUUCCGCACGGCGGCCACCUCGGCUACAUUCGCAGCGUAUGGGACGAGUGGCUCGGGACGGAGACGGUGAUGGAGAAAAUCAUCUACGAGGUGGCGGCCGCCAUCACGCCCAGGCGCUAAUGCGAUGAACGCGAUCUUCCGCACCCCGUACUCAUUUUGUCUUUUGCUCCGUUUGCACUUUUCUGCGGUGGUGUCCCUUCUCCCUCCUCCUCUCCUCACCCCUUCCGUAUCUUCGCUGGCAGGGCUGCUGCUGCGGCGAGUGACAUGAGGCGUGAGCGUGCCAUCGCCCAUGCUGCGGUCUCUCGUUCUUCAUCCCCUAGUACCGUCACGUGCGCACCUGUAGCCAGCCAACGUUACAGUCCCGCUCGGCGGUACUUUCCGUCGCACUGGAAAAGGACACGAAUGCUUUGAGGUGGCGAGUUGCUGCAAACGAGGGGUCCCGAUGUUCUUCUUGUCCACCACCGCUUCAGUCAGGCCUGGUGUACCGAAAGACUCUCUGCGCGGCGCUGCGUGAAUUCGGUGCCGCUCUGCUCGAGCCCCUCUGCCUUAACUGUUUUUUAAGCAUUCUCGGUUGAUUCUUGACUUCUCUCUACACACUCUCAGUUUCUUCUUGACCUGACAAGUGUGGUGGCGCCACACGCAUGCGUUUGCAUCUCAGUAUGACUGUGCACAGCAGUUCAUAUGCGUACCUCCUUCUUGUCUCUCUGCCUUUGCCUCUUUUCCAUC